Non-coding RNA from Bacteroidia bacterium 44-10, 66 nucleotides. Lineage: Bacteria; Pseudomonadati; Bacteroidota; Bacteroidia. The record is from Rfam.
AAAGAGUAGAGUCCAGAGACUACAAACAACGGGGCGAAACAGAAAAGCCAUACGAGUAAGAAUAUA